AGCUCCAAUAGCGUAUAUUAAAGUUGUUGCGGUUAAAAAGCUCGUAGUUGGAGUUCUGCCAGGUGCCGCCUGUCCGCCCCAGUGGUGAGUACGUGGCGCGCAUUUGGCCCUUUCAAGGGGAGCGUAUCUGCACUUUAUUGUGUGGUGUGGGUCUCCAGACUUUUACCUUGAGGAAAUUAGAGUGUUCAAAGCAUGCAAAAGCAUUGAAUAUGUUAGCAUGGGAUAAUGAGAUAGGAUUUCGGUUCUAUCUUGUCGGUUCAUAGGACUGAGGUAAUGAUUAAUAGGAACAGCUUGGGGCAUUCGUAUUUCAUUGUCAGAGGUGAAAUUCUCAGACCAGCGGAAGACGAACCACUGCGAAAGCAUUUGCCAGGGAUGUUUUCA
This 381-nucleotide ribosomal RNA is filed under the name uncultured eukaryote. Its description in RNAcentral is "SSU rRNA". It matches the Rfam family "Eukaryotic small subunit ribosomal RNA", at positions 587 to 972 of the family's 1831-position model. The record is from RNAcentral.